Molecule: ribosomal RNA, 252 nt
Filed under: uncultured bacterium
Lineage: Bacteria
Description: partial 16S ribosomal RNA
Rfam family: Bacterial small subunit ribosomal RNA
Source: RNAcentral
UACGGAGGUGGCGAGCGUUAUCCGGAAUGAUUGGGCGUAAAGGGUGCGUAGACGGCCUGCUAAGUCUGGAGUGAAAGGUACCGGCUCAACCGGUACAGGCUCUGGAAACUGGCGGGCUAGAGAGCAGGAGAGGGCGGUGGAACUCCAUGUGUAGCGGUGAAAUGCGUAGAUAUAUGGAAGAACACCAGUGGCGAAAGCGGCUCUCUGGUCUGUAACUGACGCUGAGGUUCGAAAGCGUGGGUAGCAAACAGG